RNAcentral lists this ribosomal RNA (476 nucleotides) under Staphylococcus aureus. RNAcentral's name for it is "bacterial SSU rRNA". It matches the Rfam family "Bacterial small subunit ribosomal RNA", at positions 1 to 465 of the family's 1533-position model. The record is from RNAcentral. RNAcentral also lists the same sequence under 1 other name. Lineage: Bacteria; Bacillati; Bacillota; Bacilli; Caryophanales; Staphylococcaceae.
UUUUAUGGAGAGUUUGAUCCUGGCUCAGGAUGAACGCUGGCGGCGUGCCUAAUACAUGCAAGUCGAGCGAACGGACGAGAAGCUUGCUUCUCUGAUGUUAGCGGCGGACGGGUGAGUAACACGUGGAUAACCUACCUAUAAGACUGGGAUAACUUCGGGAAACCGGAGCUAAUACCGGAUAAUAUUUUGAACCGCAUGGUUCAAAAGUGAAAGACGGUCUUGCUGUCACUUAUAGAUGGAUCCGCGCUGCAUUAGCUAGUUGGUAAGGUAACGGCUUACCAAGGCAACGAUGCAUAGCCGACCUGAGAGGGUGAUCGGCCACACUGGAACUGAGACACGGUCCAGACUCCUACGGGAGGCAGCAGUAGGGAAUCUUCCGCAAUGGGCGAAAGCCUGACGGAGCAACGCCGCGUGAGUGAUGAAGGUCUUCGGAUCGUAAAACUCUGUUAUUAGGGAAGAACAUAUGUGUAAGUAAC